This 257-nucleotide ribosomal RNA is filed under the name uncultured Vexilliferidae. RNAcentral describes it as "partial Bacterial large subunit ribosomal RNA". It matches the Rfam family "Bacterial large subunit ribosomal RNA", at positions 802 to 1058 of the family's 2925-position model. Lineage: Eukaryota; Discosea; Flabellinia; Dactylopodida; Vexilliferidae. The record is from RNAcentral.
GGAUGACUUGUGGUUAGGGGUGAAAGGCCAAUCAAACUGAGAAAUAGCUCGUACUCCCCGAAAUGCUUUUAGGAGCAGCGUGUGGGUGAGUUUAUUAGAGGUAGAGCUACCGAUUGGACUAGGGGGAGUCAAAUCCUACCAAAUCCAGACGAACUCCGAAUGCUAAUAAAUAUACCACGCAGUGAGGGCUUGGGUGCUAAGGUCCGAGUCCGAGAGGGAAAGAACCCAGACCAUCAGCUAAGGUCCCCAAAUAUAUG